GCACUCACUUCGGCAGCAUAGACUAAAACUGGAACGAUACAGAGAUUAGCAUGGCUCCUGUGCAAGGAUGACAUGCAAAUUUAUGAAGCGUUCUGUAUUUUU
Small nuclear RNA from Phyllostomus discolor (pale spear-nosed bat), 102 nucleotides. NCBI's taxonomy places the organism in Eukaryota, Metazoa, Chordata, Mammalia, Chiroptera, Phyllostomidae. The record is from RefSeq and is a predicted model, not a curated record.